This 310-nucleotide unclassified non-coding RNA is filed under the name plant metagenome. Its description in RNAcentral is "partial contains 5.8S ribosomal RNA, internal transcribed spacer 2, and large subunit ribosomal RNA". The stretch from base 1 to 105 matches the Rfam family "5.8S ribosomal RNA", at positions 50 to 154 of the family's 154-position model. The record is from RNAcentral.
GAAAUGCGAUAAGUAAUGUGAAUUGCAGAAUUCAGUGAAUCAUCGAAUCUUUGAACGCACAUUGCGCCCGCCAGCAUUCUGGCGGGCAUGCCUGUUCGAGCGUCAUUUCAACCCUCGAGCCCCCCCGGGUGCCUCGGUGUUGGGGGACGGCACACCAGCCGCCCCCGAAAUGCAGUGGCGACCCCGCCGCAGCCUCCCCUGCGUAGUAGCACACACCUCGCACCGGAGCGCGGAGGCGGUCACGCCGUAAAACGCCCAACUUUCUUAGAGUUGACCUCGGAUCAGGUAGGAAUACCCGCUGAACUUAAGC